CACCUAGACUGUUGUUCUUCUGACAGCAAAAUAAAUUCCCCUCUACUACAUUCCCAUAUGUAUGGGAGUUCUUCGUGGACGCAACUAUGCAGGGGAAGAGAUGGACCAAGAGUUGUUCUGGGUAAGCCGCCUGGGAAAUCAAUUGUUCCUUCACUCAUUUACUCAUUUACUCAUACAAGUAUUUUACUUGUUUUUCACCGCACUGUGCUAGACUCCUUUGAGAGAAAAGGGCGUGAUCUAAUGUAGUAUAAACUAAAGGUCCUACUUUUAAUGCAUUUAUGAUCUUAGUUGAAAACACGUGAUAUCCUCUUAUAAAAACGAGACAAAAUUUGGUGUUCCAAACAAAGUCUCCAGGUAAAGAAGCCAAUUGUCCCGGAUGUCCUUCUUCACUUUUGGCACUUUCUGGCUUAUUUCAAACAUGCAUUGAAUGACAACGGACCCACCACCAGCUGGAGAUUUGGCAGGAGAAAAUCAAAAGUCCAGGUUCUCUUCCUCCGCCCUUCUCUAUUCCCUCUCCUGGAAUGUGUAGCUAUGGUAACAGCAGAAGGCAGAUAAAGGAAGAGAAGCUCCCAUUUCACCUCCAUCCCAUGGAGGAGAUAGAUGCACCUAGAUUGGCUGGUUUGGUAGUUUGGACUGGGCCACGUAUAAGUAGAGUUGGACUUGGGCCUAGAUCUGCUCGCUGGUCUACAUUGCUCUGGGGACUCUCAGAUCUUUUUCUAGUUUCCUGUCCAAAGACCAUCCAAGAGAUCCCCGUAAAAUGAAGGAGCCAACCAAAGAAACAGACCAGAGCAUCAGGGGAACAGAUUAGAAGAUACAGAAACAACUCCAGACACACUCAGCCACCUUGUCUUUGAUAAAGGAGCCAAACACCCUCACCAGAGGAAAGAUAGCCUCUUUAAUAAAUGGUGCUGGAAAAACUGGGUUUCAACUUGCCAAAGAUUAAAACUAG
RNAcentral lists this long non-coding RNA (949 nucleotides) under Fukomys damarensis (Damara mole-rat). Its description in RNAcentral is "lncRNA (ENSFDAG00000027709.1)". Lineage: Eukaryota; Metazoa; Chordata; Mammalia; Rodentia; Bathyergidae. The record is from RNAcentral.